Molecule: unclassified non-coding RNA, 263 nt
Filed under: plant metagenome
Description: partial contains small subunit ribosomal RNA, internal transcribed spacer 1, and 5.8S ribosomal RNA
Source: RNAcentral
GUUCCGUAGGUGAACCUGCGGAAGGAUCAUUAUUGUAUAACCGAGGUGCGAGGGCUGUCGCUGACCCGAAAGGUCGUGCACGCCCGAGUGCCCUCACACACAUCCAUCUCACCCUUAUGUGCACCACCGCGUGGGUCCCCCUUUGGCUUGUUCGGAGGGGGGCUUACGUUUUCACACAAACUUUGUAUGCAGUGUAGAAUGUAUUUUUUGUUUUUGCGAUCACGCAAUCAAUACAACUUUCAACAACGGAUCUCUUGGCUCUC